CUAGGUAGUACAUUACAUGUAUGUGUAUGUGUGUAUAGUCCCAUAGUAGGUAGUCUACGGUCGCAUGCACAGGUCUGGAAACUCCUGUGGUGGGAACACGGUGUAAUAGAUUUUACAUCUUAAAAUUUGCUUAAGAGGGAGCAAAAUAAUGAUCUUGUGUCUUCUACUGUACUGACUACUCUGUGGUAGCGCCGUUGGUGGCGAUUUUGAGAAGCGCCACAUAAUGUGACAUCCCUCACCACAGAAAUUUCAAGAUCUGCGUGCACCGUGGAUUCCUCAACACAGCAGUUUCAAGACUUGCAUGUACGACCGUGGUAUAGUCUAUCCAGCGAAACGAGAUAAUAAACGUAAACAAAAUUUAAUUGCUGAGAUUACAACUAUUGGUAGCAUCAAAUUUUGUUUACGUUUACUACCUCAUAUCGUUGGACAGACUAUAUACUGUUUUAUCAAUAUAUACGUACAUAUAUAUACAUAUUAGAAAUUCCUAUACCAAUAGUCGGAUGGUUUUGCAAUUUUCGUUGCAAAUGAUUUAAAAAGAUCCGUUCAAUAAUGUCUUUAAUAAUAUUCUUCGGCAAAAAGUUGCCAUCAUAAGCAACGAUGUGAUUAAUAAUAAUAAUAAUAAUAAUAAUAAUGAUAACAAUUUAUCUUUCAACCUUCUGGCCAUGAAAAGGGAUUCGGUUUACAACGGUAAUUACUUUUAUUUUCCUUGCUCUCUUAAUCAUACAUCCUUAAUUUCCGAUACACACUCCCUUUAUCUAACUAUUUAAUUAUUAAUCCAGUAAUUAACUAGCUUCUAUAUAUCCUAUGCUGACAAACCUCUCUAUUUUUUAUUUAUAUGUAUAUUGUACAAAGAUAUAAAAAAAGUAGUAUAUUUCAAUUACAAGACAUAUUAUAAUAAACGUGAUGUGUGGUAUAUGGUUUCACCUGUUGGGGAAUUUACGGAUAUUUUUGUUCCAUUAAGUCAAGUAAUGGUGUUAUUCUCGUUGAAAUAUAAUGAUAAAGUGUGAGUGAGCUAAAAAGACAAUAUAAGAAUAGAAAGAGAACGCUGCAUUGAGAUUUCUUGUGUCCUUGUCUAAUGACACAUACACAUUCUUAUAGUAAAUAUGUAACAUCGAUGGUAACACCGAUCAACGAACGAUGUCAGUGUGCAUACUGGAUUAUACAAGGACAGACAGGGCCUCUAUGCUGCGUUUUCUUUCUAUUCCCACAUCGCAUGGCAUGAUACACGGUGACAUAUAAAUUGCGUGCUCUAUUUUUAUACAUAUCUCUGUAUCCUGUUCGAAGUCAUGUUAGAAUUGUUUGUUCUCUUCUAGUGAGGUUAUUUUUCUGUAUUUUGUUAUUUACUUAUAUAAUUGUAUGCUGUAUAUUUAUUAAAAAAAUAAUUCUUUUAUUUUAACGAAAAGGCAGGAAAUAUGGUUUAAUAUUUAAUGCAAAUUAAUAAAUCCAUAAUGUUGAUGUGCAUGUAUUAUUAAGUUAAGCGGAAAAGAGUAAUAUGAAACUCGAACAUUCACUAACAUUAUAUAGAAAAUUCUGUGGAAUAAAAUUUAAUUAUACAUUUCUGAAACUAAAUUAUGCAGUAUAAAAACGUCCUAUCUUUUUAGUAAAAUUAUCCGCGUUUUAAUUCUUAUACAGAGUUUUACUAAUGUAUUAAAUUAUUAAAUGAAAUAUACCUACAAUUAAAAUAUAAGUAUUGUAAUUGUCUUUAAAGUAUUGUUUAUAUAUAUAUACAUAUAUAUUGAUUUUGUAGGCACAACCACGUGCUAAUCCCUUUUUCAAGGCUGAAAGAUAGGAAAAUAAAGUUAUCUACGUAUCUAUAUAACUAAAACGUUUGUAAAAUAAACACGUGUGUAUACUUGAGCAAUAUUAGAUGCAGUUGAUACGAAGUUAAAACUUAUGCAUAAAAUAUUUUAUGAUGAUAAAUAAUAAUAUAAAAAACAAAACAGGAUAACGAAAAAAUAUAACAAAGUAUAAGCAAUUAUGUAAUUUAAUAAAUUAUGGUAUUGUUAAUAAUUAUCCUGCUUGAUGUUAAAAACAAAGUAUAUUAAUAAAGUUUGGUACUAUUAAUAAUUAUUCCAGUGUUAAAAUAAACUAGUGGAAAGGUAUAUUAGUUUUGACGCAAAGAAAUUAUAAUGAACGAAAUUCAAUAUUCACGUUAAUUAUAAUGGAAUACGGAUCAAUGGAUUGUGUUACAUUUUAAUAGUGUAUAGAUUAUAUUGCUCUCAAGUUACUUGUAUAUGUACGAACUUUUGCAAUAAGAUCUAACGUUGCCUUAAUGCUUACAAUGAGAUAAUUCUAAGAAUAAACAUGGUUACUUUAUUAUAAAUUCAA
Bombus huntii is the source of this 2328-nucleotide long non-coding RNA. RefSeq lists it as uncharacterized. The record is from RefSeq and is a predicted model, not a curated record. Lineage: Eukaryota; Metazoa; Arthropoda; Insecta; Hymenoptera; Apidae. The transcript has 3 exons.